CCUACGGGAGGCAGCAGUGAGGAAUAUUGGUCAAUGGACGCAAGUCUGAACCAGCCAUGCCGCGUGCAGGAAGACGGCUCUAUGAGUUGUAAACUGCUUUUGUACGAGGGCAAACUCAGAUACGUGUAUCUGUCUGAAAGUAUCGUACGAACAAGGAUCGGCUAACUCCGUGCCAGCAGCCGCGGUAAUUCGGAGGAUUCAAGCGUUAUCCGGAUUUAUUGGGUUUAAAGGGUGCGUAGGCGGUCGGAUAAGUUAGCGGUGAAAUCCCGAGGCUCAACUUCGGAAUUGCCUCUGAUACUGUGCGGCUAGAGAGUAGUAGAGGUAGGCGGAAUGUAUGGUGUAGCGGUGAAAUGCUUAGAGAUCAGACAGAACACCGAUUGCGAAGGCAGCUUACCGGGCUACUUCUGACGUUGAGGCACGAAAGCGUGGGGAGCAAACAGGAUUAGAUACCCUUGUAGUC
This 460-nucleotide ribosomal RNA is filed under the name uncultured bacterium. RNAcentral describes it as "partial 16S ribosomal RNA". It matches the Rfam family "Bacterial small subunit ribosomal RNA", at positions 338 to 795 of the family's 1533-position model. The record is from RNAcentral.